AAAAGAUUUAAGUUAAAUAAACUAAUAGCCUUCAAAGCUUUAAAUGGUUAAAACCAAUCUUUA
This 63-nucleotide transfer RNA is filed under the name Sinanodonta woodiana. RNAcentral describes it as "tRNA-Trp". The record is from RNAcentral. Lineage: Eukaryota; Metazoa; Mollusca; Bivalvia; Unionida; Unionidae.